CCACCACCAAAGCAUUUGCUGUACCGCGUUGACGGAGCGAAGCGACGUCAAACCGAUAAAACAGCAGUGUAAAGUGAGCCGCAGGGCGCUUUGCGCGACAGCGCAAAGGCAGGCGGUUUCGCGUAGCGAAAGCGAAUGCUUUGGGGUGGGGUGACUGCGUACCUUUUGUAUAAUGGGUCAGCGACUUAUAUUCUGUAGCAAGGUUAACCGAAUAGGGGAGCCGGAGGGAAACCGAGUCUUAACCGGGCGUUAAGUUGCAGGGUAUAGACCCGAAACCCGGUGAUCUAGCCAUGGGCAGGUUGAAGGUUGGGUAACACUAACUGGAGGACCGAACCGACUAAUGUUGAAAAAUUAGCGGAUGACCUGUGGCUGGGGGUGAAAGGCCAAUCAAACCGGGAGAUAGCUGGUUCUCCCCGAAAGCUAUUUAGGUAGCGCCUCGUGAAUUCAUCUCCGGGGGUAGAGCACUGUUUCGGCUAGGGGGCCAUCCCGGCUUACCAACCCGAUGCAAACUGCGAAUACCGGAGAAUGUUAUCACGGGAGACACACGGCGGGUGCUAACGUCCGUCGUGAAGAGGGAAACAACCCAGACCGCCAGCUAAGGUCCCAAAGUCAUGGUUAAGUGGGAAACGAUGUGGGAAGGCCCAGACAGCCAGGAUGUUGGCUUAGAAGCAGCCAUCAUUUAAAGAAAGCGUAAUAGCUCACUGGUCGAGUCGGCCUGCGCGGAAGAUGUAACGGGGCUAAACCAUGCACCGAAGCUGCGGCAGCGACACUGUGUGUUGUUGGGUAGGGGAGCGUUCUGUAAGCCUGUGAAGGUGUGUCGUGAGGCAUGCUGGAGGUAUCAGAAGUGCGAAUGCUGACAUAAGUAACGAUAAAGCGGGUGAAAAGCCCGCUCGCCGGAAGACCAAGGGUUCCUGUCCAACGUUAAUCGGGGCAGGGUGAGUCGACCCCUAAGGCGAGGCCGAAAGGCGUAGUCGAUGGGAAACGGGUUAAUAUUCCCGUACUUGGUGUUACUGCGAAGGGGGGACGGAGAAGGCUAUGUUGGCCGGGCGACGGUUGUCCCGGUUUAAGCGUGUAGGUGUGUGUUCCAGGUAAAUCCGGUUCACUUUAACACUGAGGCGUGACGACGAGGCACUACGGUGCUGAAGCAACAAAUGCCCUGCUUCCAGGAAAAGCCUCUAAGCAUCAGGUAACAUCAAAUCGUACCCCAAACCGACACAGGUGGUCAGGUAGAGAAUACCAAGGCGCUUGAGAGAACUCGGGUGAAGGAACUAGGCAAAAUGGUGCCGUAACUUCGGGAGAAGGCACGCUGACACGUAGGUGAAGUGAUUUACUCAUGGAGCUGAAGUCAGUCGAAGAUACCAGCUGGCUGCAACUGUUUAUUAAAAACACAGCACUGUGCAAACACGAAAGUGGACGUAUACGGUGUGACGCCUGCCCGGUGCCGGAAGGUUAAUUGAUGGGGUCAGCGCAAGCGAAGCUCCUGAUCGAAGCCCCGGUAAACGGCGGCCGUAACUAUAACGGUCCUAAGGUAGCGAAAUUCCUUGUCGGGUAAGUUCCGACCUGCACGAAUGGCGUAAUGAUGGCCAGGCUGUCUCCACCCGAGACUCAGUGAAAUUGAACUCGCUGUGAAGAUGCAGUGUACCCGCGGCAAGACGGAAAGACCCCGUGAACCUUUACUAUAGCUUGACACUGAACAUUGAGCCUUGAUGUGUAGGAUAGGUGGGAGGCUUUGAAGUGUGGACGCCAGUCUGCAUGGAGCCGACCUUGAAAUACCACCCUUUAAUGUUUGAUGUUCUAACGUGGACCCGUUACCCGGGUUGCGGACAGUGUCUGGUGGGUAGUUUGACUGGGGCGGUCUCCUCCUAAAGAGUAACGGAGGAGCACGAAGGUUGGCUAAUCCUGGUCGGACAUCAGGAGGUUAGUGCAAUGGCAUAAGCCAGCUUGACUGCGAGCGUGACGGCGCGAGCAGGUGCGAAAGCAGGUCAUAGUGAUCCGGUGGUUCUGAAUGGAAGGGCCAUCGCUCAACGGAUAAAAGGUACUCCGGGGAUAACAGGCUGAUACCGCCCAAGAGUUCAUAUCGACGGCGGUGUUUGGCACCUCGAUGUCGGCUCAUCACAUCCUGGGGCUGAAGUAGGUCCCAAGGGUAUGGCUGUUCGCCAUUUAAAGUGGUACGCGAGCUGGGUUUAGAACGUCGUGAGACAGUUCGGUCCCUAUCUGCCGUGGGCGCUGGAGAACUGAGGGGGGCUGCUCCUAGUACGAGAGGACCGGAGUGGACGCAUCACUGGUGUUCGGGUUGUCAUGCCAAUGGCACUGCCCGGUAGCUAAAUGCGGAAGAGAUAAGUGCUGAAAGCAUCUAAGCACGAAACUUGCCCCGA
RNAcentral lists this ribosomal RNA (2375 nucleotides) under Salmonella enterica subsp. enterica serovar Enteritidis. Its description in RNAcentral is "partial 23S ribosomal RNA". It matches the Rfam family "Bacterial large subunit ribosomal RNA". The record is from RNAcentral. Lineage: Bacteria; Pseudomonadati; Pseudomonadota; Gammaproteobacteria; Enterobacterales; Enterobacteriaceae.